AUGCAAGUCGAGGGGUAACAUAGAUUGCUUGCAAUCUGAUGACGACCGGCGCACGGGUGCGUAACGCGUAUACAAUUUGCCUUAUACAGGGGGAUAGCCUUUAGAAAUGAAGAUUAAUACCCCAUGGUUCCUGAUAUCCGCAUGGAUUGUCAGGGUAAAGAUUUAUCGGUAUAAGAUGAGUAUGCGUCCUAUUAGCUAGGUGGUAAGGUAAUGGCUUACCAUGGCUACGAUAGGUAGGGGUCCUGAGAGGGAGAUCCCCCACACUGGUACUGAGACACGGACCAGACUCCUACGGGAGGCAGCAGUGAGGAAUAUUGGACAAUGGAGGCAACUCUGAUCCAGCCAUGCCGCGUGCAGGAAGACUGCCCUAUGGGUUGUAAACUGCUUUUAUAUAGGAAGAACCACUCUCACGUGUUGGGAGCUUGACGGUACUAUAUGAAUAAGCACCGGCUAACUCCGUGCCAGCAGCCGCGGUAAUACGGAGGGUGCAAGCGUUAUCCGGAAUUAUUGGGUUUAAAGGGUCCGCAGGCGGUCAAUUAAGUCAGAGGUGAAAUCCCAUCGCUUAACGAUGGAACUGCCUUUGAUACUGGUUGACUUGAGUUAUACUGAAGUAAGUAGAAUGUGUAGUGUAGCGGUGAAGUGCAUAGAUAUUACACAGAAUACCGAUUGCGAAGGCAGCUUACUAAGUAUUGACUG
This 696-nucleotide ribosomal RNA is filed under the name uncultured marine bacterium. Its description in RNAcentral is "bacterial SSU rRNA". It matches the Rfam family "Bacterial small subunit ribosomal RNA", at positions 55 to 742 of the family's 1533-position model. The record is from RNAcentral.